This 451-nucleotide ribosomal RNA is filed under the name uncultured bacterium. RNAcentral's name for it is "bacterial SSU rRNA". It matches the Rfam family "Bacterial small subunit ribosomal RNA", at positions 8 to 507 of the family's 1533-position model. The record is from RNAcentral.
AGAGUUUGAUCAUGGCUCAGAACGAACGCUGGCGGCAGGCUUAACACAUGCAAGUCGAGCGCCCCGCAAGGGGAGCGGCAGACGGGUGAGUAACGCGUGGGAAUCUACCCAGCUCUACGGAAUAACUCAGGGAAACUUGUGCUAAUACCGUAUACGUCCGAUAGGAGAAAGAUUUAUCGGAGUUGGAUGAGCCCGCGUUGGAUUAGCUAGUUGGUGGGGUAAUGGCCUACCAAGGCGACGAUCCAUAGCUGGUCUGAGAGGAUGAUCAGCCACACUGGGACUGAGACACGGCCCAGACUCCUACGGGAGGCAGCAGUGGGGAAUAUUGGACAAUGGGCGAAAGCCUGAUCCAGCAAUGCCGCGUGAGUGAUGAAGGCCCUAGGGUUGUAAAGCUCUUUUACCAGGGAUGAUAAUGACAGUACCUGGAGAAUAAGCUCCGGCUAACUCCGUG